This 500-nucleotide ribosomal RNA is filed under the name uncultured bacterium. RNAcentral describes it as "bacterial SSU rRNA". It matches the Rfam family "Bacterial small subunit ribosomal RNA", at positions 68 to 566 of the family's 1533-position model. The record is from RNAcentral.
GGGGAAGGGUGCUUGCUCCUGACCUAGCGGCGGACGGGUGAGUAUGCUAGGAAUCUGCCUAUUAGUGGGGGACAACAUUCCGAAAGGAAUGCUAAUACCGCAUACGCCCUACGGGGGAAAGCAGGGGAUCUUCGGACCUUGCGCUAAUAGAUGAGCCUAAGUCAGAUUAGCUAGUUGGUGGGGUAAAGGCCUACCAAGGCGACGAUCUGUAGCGGGUCUGAGAGGAUGAUCCGCCACACUGGGACUGAGACACGGCCCAGACUCCUACGGGAGGCAGCAGUGGGGAAUAUUGGACAAUGGGCGAAAGCCUGAUCCAGCCAUGCCGCGUGUGUGAAGAAGGCCUUUUGGUUGUAAAGCACUUUAAGCGAGGAGGAGGCUACUGAGAUUAAUACUCUUGGAUAGUGGACGUUACUCGCAGAAUAAGCACCGGCUAACUCUGUGCCAGCAGCCGCGGUAAUACAGAGGGUGCGAGCGUUAAUCGGAUUUACUGGGCGUAAAGC